RNAcentral lists this ribosomal RNA (253 nucleotides) under uncultured bacterium. Its description in RNAcentral is "partial 16S ribosomal RNA". It matches the Rfam family "Bacterial small subunit ribosomal RNA", at positions 524 to 776 of the family's 1533-position model. The record is from RNAcentral.
UACGUAGGGGGCUAGCGUUGUCCGGAAUCAUUGGGCGUAAAGCGCGCGUAGGCGGCCCAGUAAGUCCGUUGUAAAAGUCAAAGGCUCAACCUUUGAAAGCCGAUGGAUACUGCUGGGCUAGAGUCCGGAAGAGGCGAGUGGAAUUCCUGGUGUAGCGGUGGAAUGCGCAGAUAUCAGGAAGAACACCCGUGGCUAAGGCGGCUCUCUAGUACGUGACUGACGCUGAGACGCGAAAGCGUGGGGAGCGAACAGG